GAUGAACGCUGGCGGCGUGCCUAAUACAUGCAAGUCGAGCGAACGGACGAGAAGCUUGCUUCUCUGAUGUUAGCGGCGGACGGGUGAGUAACACGUGGAUAACCUACCUAUAAGACUGGGAUAACUUCGGGAAACCGUAGCUAAUACCGGAUAAUAUUUUGAACCGCAUGGUUCAAAAGUGAAAGACGGUCUUGCCGUCACUUAUAGAUGGAUCCGCGCUGCAUUAGCUAGUUGGUAAGGUAACGGCUUACCAAGGCAACGAUGCAUAGCCGACCUGAGAGGGUGAUCGGCCACACUGGAACUGAGCCACGGUCAAGACUCCUACGGGAGGCAGCAGUAGGGAAUCUUCCGCAAUGGGCGAAAGCCUGACGGAGCAACGCCGCGUGAGUGAUGAAGGUCUUCGGAUCGUAAAACUCUGUUAUUAGGGAAGAACAUAUGUGUAAGUAACUAUGCACAUCUUGACGGUACCUAAUCAGAAAGCCACGGCUAACUACGUG
RNAcentral lists this ribosomal RNA (497 nucleotides) under uncultured bacterium. Its description in RNAcentral is "partial 16S ribosomal RNA". It matches the Rfam family "Bacterial small subunit ribosomal RNA", at positions 28 to 507 of the family's 1533-position model. The record is from RNAcentral.